UACGGAGGAUGCGAGCGUUAUCCGGAUUCAUUGGGUUUAAAGGGUGCGUAGGUUGUUUUAUAAGUUAGCGGUGAAAUACCGAUGCUCAACAUCGGGGCUGCCGCUGAUACUGUAGGACUAGAGAUCGGAUGCAGCAGGCGGAAUGUGUAGUGUAGCGGUGAAAUGCAUAGAUAUAUGGAAGAACACCAGUGGCGAAGGCGGCCGCCUGGCCUGUUGCUGACGCUGAGGCACGAAAGCGUGGGGAGCAAAUAGG
This 253-nucleotide ribosomal RNA is filed under the name uncultured Rikenellaceae bacterium. RNAcentral's name for it is "partial 16S ribosomal RNA". It matches the Rfam family "Bacterial small subunit ribosomal RNA", at positions 524 to 776 of the family's 1533-position model. The record is from RNAcentral. Lineage: Bacteria; Pseudomonadati; Bacteroidota; Bacteroidia; Bacteroidales; Rikenellaceae.